This 486-nucleotide ribosomal RNA is filed under the name uncultured bacterium. RNAcentral's name for it is "bacterial SSU rRNA". It matches the Rfam family "Bacterial small subunit ribosomal RNA", at positions 28 to 507 of the family's 1533-position model. The record is from RNAcentral.
GAUGAACGCUAGCUACAGGCUUAACACAUGCAAGUCGAGGGGCAGCAUUUUUCAGCAAUAGAAGAGAUGGCGACCGGCGCACGGGUGAGUAACACGUAUCCAACCUGCCGAUAACUCCGGAAUAGCCUUUCGAAAGAAAGAUUAAUACCGGAUGGCAUACGAAUAUCGCAUGAUAUUUUUAUUAAAGAAUUUCGGUUAUCGAUGGGGAUGCGUUCCAUUAGUUUGUUGGCGGGGUAACGGCCCACCAAGACUACGAUGGAUAGGGGUUCUGAGAGGAAGGUCCCCCACAUUGGAACUGAGACACGGUCCAAACUCCUACGGGAGGCAACAGUGAGGAAUAUUGGUCAACGGGCGAGAGCCUGAACCAGCCAAGUAGCGUGAAGGAUGAAGGCUCUAUGGGUCGUAAACUUCUUUUAUAUGGGAAUAAAGUUUUCCACGUGUGGAAUUUUGUAUGUACCAUAUGAAUAAGGAUCGGCUAACUCCGUG